Molecule: ribosomal RNA, 492 nt
Filed under: uncultured bacterium
Lineage: Bacteria
Description: partial 16S ribosomal RNA
Rfam family: Bacterial small subunit ribosomal RNA
Source: RNAcentral
AGUGAACGCUGGCGGUAGGCCUAACACAUGCAAGUCGAACGGCAGCACAGUAAGAGCUUGCUCUUACGGGUGGCGAGUGGCGGACGGGUGAGGAAUACAUCGGAAUCUACUUUUUCGUGGGGGAUAACGUAGGGAAACUUACGCUACUACCGCAUAUGACCUACGGGUGAAAGCAGGGGAUCUUCGGACCUUGCGCGAUUGAAUGAGCCGAUGUCGGAUUAGCUAGUUGGCGGGGUAAAGGCCCACCAAGGCGACGAUCCGUAGCUGGUCUGAGAGGAUGAUCAGCCACACUGGAACUGAGACACGGUCCAGACUCCUACGGGAGGCAGCAGUGGGGAAUAUUGGACAAUGGGCGCAAGCCUGAUCCAGCCAUACCGCGUGGGUGAAGAAGGCCUUCGGGUUGUAAAGCCCUUUUGUUGGGAAAGAAAAGCAGCAGGUUAAUACCCCGCUGUUCUGACGGUACCCAAAGAAUAAGCACCGGCUAACUUCGUG